GACGAACGCUGGCGGCGUGCUUAACACAUGCAAGUCGAACGGAAAGGCCCUGCUUUUGUGGGGUGCUCGAGUGGCGAACGGGUGAGUAACACGUGAGUAACCUUCCCUGGACUUUGGGAUAACUGCAGGAAACUGGGGCUAAUACCUGAUAGGAGCUCCUGCUGCAUGGUGGGGGUUGGAAAGUUUCGGCGGUGGGGGAUGGACGCGCGGCUUAUCAGCUUGUUGGUGGGGUAGUGGCUUACCAAGGCUUUGACGGGUAGCCGGCCUGGGAGGGUGAACGGCGACAUUGGGCCUGAGAUACGGACCAGACUCCAACGGGAGGCAGCAGUGGGGAAUAUUGCACAAUGGGCGGAAGCCUGAUGCAGAAACGCCGCGUGCGGGAUGCCGGCCUUCGGGUUGUAAACCGCUUUCGCCUGUGACGAAGCGUGAGUGACGGUAAUGGGUAAAGAAGCACCGGCUAACUACGUG
RNAcentral lists this ribosomal RNA (468 nucleotides) under uncultured bacterium. RNAcentral's name for it is "partial 16S ribosomal RNA". It matches the Rfam family "Bacterial small subunit ribosomal RNA", at positions 28 to 507 of the family's 1533-position model. The record is from RNAcentral.